RNAcentral lists this long non-coding RNA (1040 nucleotides) under Nicotiana benthamiana. RNAcentral describes it as "long non-coding RNA (NBEN_LNC012151)". The record is from RNAcentral. Lineage: Eukaryota; Viridiplantae; Streptophyta; Magnoliopsida; Solanales; Solanaceae.
UAGAGGUAACUGAUAAAUGUUAGAGCUAUUUCUGAUGCCUUAAAAACUCCCUAUAAAAAGCUAGUUCCCUUCUUUGUCAAGGCAGAUUUUAGAGAUUAAUAACACUGGAAGUUGAAAAAUGGCUGAGCUAAAAAAAGACUGAAAAAUUCUCUAUACUAUUCUUGGUCAAAAACUUCUUGGAAUUACACUGGGAGAUACACUAUUAGGAUCAUUUUAACACCUCAAAACCUCUUGCUUGAUAUGGGUUCAAAAAAUGACUUGAAAGGAUUUGAAUUUGUUGAGUUUGCUGAAGUUGAGUCUUCUGUUAUUGCUGCUAACCUCUCAUUCUCUCCGAUUUUUUCUUUGAAUUCCAGGUAUCUUUCAAACCAUGAAUAACAAGUGAAGUAUGAACAUGUAUUUCUAAUGGAAACAUGAUUGAAUACAAGUCGUUAUUGAGUUUUAUUUUCUUCUAUUUCUUCCAUUUCUUUAGUAUUUUGUAAUAGUUUAAUUAUAUGCAUGUUAUAUUAGCCAUCUCAUGUUGUUGUCAUGGUAAAAGAUGAAUUACUGCUGGAUUUUGUUGUUUUGUUUGCUGAAAGUUUGAUGUUGGUUCUUAGAUUCAAGUUAGUCGUCUGUCAAUUUCUUGGAUUUUCACUAAUGUUUGUAUUAAGAGAAGGGUUUUAGUUGAGAUUAAAUUUGAUAUGAUUACUUAUAGAUUAGCUUAGAACAGUGUUGUUUUCAUUGCAAUUGAUUUCGAAGCAAUGUUGCCUUUGAGAAUGUAAUGUGGUUUAAUAGCACUUAAGGUCUCAUGUAUGUCAAACUGCUUUGUAGCGGUGAUUAGGCUCAUUUGGUAUUUCUAUUGAAUUUGCAUAUCAGCCUUAUUUUGUGUGGACUCGAUCUUGAGUCCUCUGUCUUGAGCUUGUGCUUUUUAUUUCUAAGGCUUGGGCUCCCUUUGGGCCUGAACCUUAAGGCUAUUCUGAAACAGGGAGACUUGCAACUCCGGUAGGCUUGUGCUCAAUCCUAUUACCUUCUGCAUCAAUAUGGAAGUUUUAAAUAAACUAUCG